UCAACUAUUUUAUGUGACUUUUGGUUGAAAUACUCUGCGUUGACCUUUGAAAAAUCACAUUUUUUUUGGAAAUUAACCCGCGAUGACGAGGUGUAUCGUUUUGUCUGACAGCGUGAGGUUUAAGAACUUCAUUUCUAAUUUUGUCUUGUGGCAUAUUAGAAAUGAUGUUUCUUCGAAAAUCGUGCGCUUACAACAGAUAAAACGACUUCUGAGUAGU
This is a small nucleolar RNA of Bactrocera dorsalis (oriental fruit fly), 217 nucleotides long. RefSeq annotates it as small nucleolar RNA U3. The transcript has a single exon. The record is from RefSeq and is a predicted model, not a curated record. NCBI's taxonomy places the organism in Eukaryota, Metazoa, Arthropoda, Insecta, Diptera, Tephritidae.